GGAAGGUUGGCAGAGUGGUAAUGCAGCGGCUUGCUAAGCCGUGGCUCCGCAAGGGGUCCAUCAGUUCGAUCCUGAUACCUUCCGCCA
Molecule: transfer RNA, 87 nt
Filed under: Rhodoferax saidenbachensis
Lineage: Bacteria; Pseudomonadati; Pseudomonadota; Betaproteobacteria; Burkholderiales; Comamonadaceae
Description: tRNA-Ser
Rfam family: tRNA
About the family: Transfer RNA (tRNA) molecules are approximately 80 nucleotides in length.
Source: RNAcentral